This 433-nucleotide ribosomal RNA is filed under the name uncultured bacterium. RNAcentral's name for it is "partial 16S ribosomal RNA". It matches the Rfam family "Bacterial small subunit ribosomal RNA", at positions 29 to 507 of the family's 1533-position model. The record is from RNAcentral.
AACGAACGCUGGCGGCAUGCCUAACACAUGCAAGUCGAACGAGACCUUCGUGUCUAGUUGCUCACGCGUGCGUCACGCGUCGGAACCUGCCCUUAUGUUCGGAAUAAUUCUCCUUCAUGGGUGCUAAUACCGGAUAAUUUCUUCUGACCAAAGAUUUAUCGCCUUUGGAUGGGCCCGCGUUGCAUUAGCUUGUUGGUAUGGUAAAAGCCUACCACGGCUAGGCUCCUUAGCUGGUUUGAGAGCAAGAGAAGCCACACUGAGACUGAGCAACGGUCGAGAAUACUACGGAAGGCGGGAAUGGGGAAUAUAGGACAAUGGGGGGAAGGAUGAAGGGGCAAGGGCGGGUAAGUGAUGAAGGCCUUAGAGAAGUAAAGCUGUUUUAAACGGGAUGAUAAUGACGGUACCGAGAGAAUAAGCACCGGCUAACUCCGUG